RNAcentral lists this ribosomal RNA (429 nucleotides) under Actinomycetes bacterium. RNAcentral's name for it is "Actinobacteria bacterium partial 16S ribosomal RNA". It matches the Rfam family "Bacterial small subunit ribosomal RNA", at positions 355 to 776 of the family's 1533-position model. The record is from RNAcentral. Lineage: Bacteria; Bacillati; Actinomycetota; Actinomycetes.
UAGGGAAUCUUCCGCAAUGGGCGAAAGCCUGACGGAGCAACGCCGCGUGAGUGAUGAAGGUCUUCGGAUCGUAAAACUCUGUUAUUAGGGAAGAACAAAUGUGUAAGUAACUAUGCACGUCUUGAUGGUACCUAAUCAGAAAGCCACGGCUAACUACGUGCCAGCAGCCGCGGUAAUACGUAGGUGGCAAGCGUUAUCCGGAAUUAUUGGGCGUAAAGCGCGCGUAGGCGGUUUUUUAAGUCUGAUGUGAAAGCCCACGGCUCAACCGUGGAGGGUCAUUGGAAACUGGAAAACUUGAGUGCAGAAGAGGAAAGUGGAAUUCCAUGUGUAGCGGUGAAAUGCGGAGAGAUAUGGAGGAACACCAGUAGCGAAGGCGGCUUUCUGGUAUGUAACUGACGAUGAUGUGCGAAAGCGUGGGGAUCAAACAGG